GAGAGGUGGCAGAGUGGCCGAAUGCACCGGUCUUGAAAACCGGCGUAGGGUCAAACCUACCGUGGGUUCGAAUCCCACCCUCUCC
RNAcentral lists this transfer RNA (85 nucleotides) under marine eukaryotic metagenome. It matches the Rfam family "tRNA". Rfam says of the family: Transfer RNA (tRNA) molecules are approximately 80 nucleotides in length. Their secondary structure includes four short double-helical elements and three loops (D, anti-codon, and T loops). The record is from RNAcentral.